GGCGAACGCUGGCGGCGUGCUUAACACAUGCAAGUCGAGCGGUAAGGCCCUUUCGGGGUACGACGAGCGGCGAACGGGUGAGUAACACGUGGGUGACCUGCCCUCAGCUCUGGGAUAAGCCUGGGAAACUGGGUCUAAUACUGGAUAUGACUCCACGGUGCAUGUCGUGGGGUGGAAAGCCUUGUGCGGCUGAGGAUGGGCCCGCGGCCUAUCAGCUUGUUGGUGGGGUGAUGGCCUACCAAGGCGACGACGGGUAGCCGGCCUGAGAGGGCGACCGGCCACACUGGGACUGAGACACGGCCCAGACUCCUACGGGAGGCAGCAGUGGGGAAUCUUGCGCAAUGGGCGAAAGCCUGACGCAGCGACGCCGCGUGAGGGAUGACGGCCU
RNAcentral lists this ribosomal RNA (388 nucleotides) under uncultured bacterium. RNAcentral's name for it is "bacterial SSU rRNA". It matches the Rfam family "Bacterial small subunit ribosomal RNA", at positions 28 to 417 of the family's 1533-position model. The record is from RNAcentral.